RNAcentral lists this ribosomal RNA (253 nucleotides) under uncultured bacterium. Its description in RNAcentral is "partial 16S ribosomal RNA". It matches the Rfam family "Bacterial small subunit ribosomal RNA", at positions 524 to 776 of the family's 1533-position model. The record is from RNAcentral.
UACGUAGGGUGCGAGCGUUAAUCGGAAUUACUGGGCGUAAAGCGUGCGCAGGCGGUCUGUCGCGUCGGAUGUGAAAACUCGGGGCUCAACCCCGAGCCUGCAUUCGAUACGGGCAGACUAGAGUUCGGUAGGGGAGACUGGAAUUCCUGGUGUAGCGGUGAAAUGCGCAGAUAUCAGGAGGAACACCGGUGGCGAAGGCGGGUCUCUGGGCCGAUACUGACGCUGAGGAGCGAAAGCUAGGGGAGCAAACGGG